Ficedula albicollis (Collared flycatcher) is the source of this 93-nucleotide small nucleolar RNA. Ensembl annotates it as small nucleolar RNA, C/D box 124. The record is from Ensembl. Lineage: Eukaryota; Metazoa; Chordata; Aves; Passeriformes; Muscicapidae.
UCAUUCUAAAUGCUGCUUCUGAGAAUCAAGAGAAGGAGACUAAGCCUCAGAGCUUAGAUGGAAGGUUGUAGUUUUUGAAAAUUUCAAGGAAAA